CCUGCGGGACUGACAUAUAGAUCAUAAUAUAUUUCCAUACACCAAAUAUAGUUGACCUUUGGCAUAUAAUAUUAGAUAAAAAGACCAAAUCUUAUAAACUGAACUUUGACCACUGAACCAUGAAAAUGAGGUCAAGGUCAGAUGACAUCUGCCCGCUAGACAUGUACACCUUACAAUCAUUCCAUACAACAAAUAUAGUAGACCUAUUGCAUAAAGUAUGAGAAAAACAGACCAAAACACAAAAACUUAACUAUAACCACUGAACCAUGAAAAUAAGGUCAAGGUCAGAUGACACCUGCCAGUUGGACAUGUACAUCUUCCAGUCCUUCCAUACACCAAAUAUACUAGCCCUAUUGCUUAUAGUAUCUGAGAUAUGGACUUGACCACCAAAACUUAACCUUGUUUACUGAUCCAUGAAAUGAGGUCGAGGUCAAGUGAAAACUGUCUGACGGGCAUGAGGACCUUGCAAGGUACGCACAUACCAAAUAUAGUUAUCCUAUUACUUAUAAUAAGAGAGAAUUUAACAUUACAAAAAUUCUGAACUUUUUUUUCAAGUGGUCACUGAACCAUGAAAAUGAGGUCAAGGACAUUGGACAUGUGACUGACGGAAACUUCGUAACAUCAGGCAUCUAUAUACAAAGUAUGAAGCAUCCAGGUCUUUCACCUUCUAAAAUAUAAACCUUUUAAGAAGUAAGCUAACGCCACCGCCGCCGCCGCCGGAUCACUAUCCCUAUGUCGAGCUUUCUGCAACAAAAGUUGCA
RNAcentral lists this long non-coding RNA (761 nucleotides) under Mytilus galloprovincialis (Mediterranean mussel). The record is from RNAcentral. Lineage: Eukaryota; Metazoa; Mollusca; Bivalvia; Mytilida; Mytilidae.